AACGCACCUUGCGCUCCUUGGUAUUCCGAGGAGCAUGCCUGUUUGAGUGUCAUGAAAUCUUCAACCUACAAGCUUUUGUGGUUUGUAGGCUUGGACUUGGAGGCUUGUCGGCCGUUAUCGGUCGGCUCCUCUUAAAUGCAUUAGCUUGGUUCCUUGCGGAUCGGCUCUCGGUGUGAUAAUGUCUACGCCGUGACCGUGAAGCGUUUGGCAAGCUUCUAACCGUCUUAUAAGACAGCUUUAUGACCUCUGACCUCAAAUCAGGUAGGACUACCCGCUGAACUUAA
This 284-nucleotide unclassified non-coding RNA is filed under the name uncultured fungus. Its description in RNAcentral is "partial contains 5.8S ribosomal RNA, internal transcribed spacer 2, and large subunit ribosomal RNA". The stretch from base 1 to 52 matches the Rfam family "5.8S ribosomal RNA", at positions 103 to 154 of the family's 154-position model. Lineage: Eukaryota; Fungi. The record is from RNAcentral.